This is a transfer RNA of 89 nucleotides. It matches the Rfam family "tRNA". Rfam says of the family: Transfer RNA (tRNA) molecules are approximately 80 nucleotides in length. Their secondary structure includes four short double-helical elements and three loops (D, anti-codon, and T loops).
GCCGGGGUACCCUAGCCUGGUAGGGGGCAGGCUUGCUAAGCCUGUGCCCGGUUUCGGGCGCGCGGGUUCAAAUCCCGCCCCCGGCGCCA